CGGCUUGCAGAGUUCAGCGUACAGCUUCAUGAAGAUAGAAGCCAAGGAAAACGAGGGGGCAGCAAGCAAUAUUAUGGCGGAAGAACCGGUAAAAACGGCGAGGAAAAGUGCUGUUCCCGAGACCUCCAACAAGAAUUCGCCUUGUAUUAUAAUAUUGUUCAACAACAGGAAGUUCAUCCAUCGAUCGGGACCACGUCAUACGAAAGACAUCCAACAGUCAACUAUUACAUCGAGCGAAUCCACCCUCUAUUUGUUAUAUAAACCCAUCGAUUUAUUCCCAGUGGUGUUCGUUGAGGAAGGCCUUGAAAGAAAAAAUUACACAGCCGGCAUAACUGACAUUUUGCUAUUACAACAGUGAUGGGGCAUGUACACUGUUUGACCCCCGGAACUUGGCCAGUAUUCAGCCAGAAGAAUGUUAACUUUGGUUCUCAUAGUAGACACCAGCUGGCUCCUAAGCAGCGAAGGGCAAACAUGAACCCCAAUCCUCUUGAAAAAGAAACUUUUACCCUUGUCACAGCGAGCCAUCGACUUCCUGUGGAAGUCAUUCAUUAUAUCUUUGGGUUCUAUCUUCGUAAAACUGAUCGAACCAGCAAAGGCUUCCUGCAGCUCCUAACCAUCAGCGAGAGCACCUACUGCAAUCAAUUCCGAAAUAUCUCUUGGCCCUCGCAAUAUUGAGACCUUUUACCGAAUAUGUAGUCGAGAUACGGAUUUGUCUCUCUACGACUCAAAAUUGACCGCGCACUGAUACAACAUCUUUAUCAGCCGGAUCUUGAGCCUGUAAGGUGUCUUGAAAUAUUUGCCCAGUUGAUAGAAGCGCUGAUACCGAUGCGCCUCGGACUGGAAUACGAUGGCCCGCAAGAUGGUCCGAUAUGGAUACAAAAGGAGAGCGGAGUGGACUUGUUAUUAAAGAUGGUAUGACUCACCAAAUGGACCCCACGACUCGAUAUCUGCGAUUCUCAGACGUUACAGCAGACUUAUAACUUUUUCAAUCUCACAGCAGAAGUGUUCGCGCCGGCAAGGCCUUACUUUGAACCAUUCAGGCAUGCCCAACUGAUUGUCUUCCCACAAAGUUUCUCCAACGACGUUUUCAAGCUCUAAACCACUCAAGAGCAAUAUAAAUCUUGGCCACGGCCUGAAAAGAAUUAAUGGCAGUUUUGGGGCAGACCAAAACUCCUCCUAUGCGUUACUGGAUGGAAAACACUUGUAAACAAAAUUACUAUGCCGUUUCUUACCACAUCUCUUAAGAUAUUUUGUGCGUAAGAAUACACAUACCCCACCUUGUCGUCCAGAACGCUCAUUCAUACCGUAAGAUAAUGGAUUCCACAUGCCACGGGAGAUUUGGUGAGUGAUGAUUGUCUUAUUACGCACGUGUCGGAGAUAUCGGAUUAUCUUCAUCGGAUAUUCACAAAUACAAGCACUUAGCUGUACGUUUUACGUUUGGUUUAUACGAUUCCUGUGGUUCAUGUAUUUUGGGUGAUUUUUGGGG
This 1486-nucleotide small RNA is filed under the name Cryptococcus neoformans H99. RNAcentral describes it as "Cryptococcus neoformans var. grubii H99 hypothetical RNA". The record is from RNAcentral. Lineage: Eukaryota; Fungi; Basidiomycota; Tremellomycetes; Tremellales; Cryptococcaceae.